This is a long non-coding RNA of Homo sapiens (human), 534 nucleotides long. Ensembl annotates it as long intergenic non-protein coding RNA 2436. The record is from Ensembl. NCBI's taxonomy places the organism in Eukaryota, Metazoa, Chordata, Mammalia, Primates, Hominidae.
AGGAAGGGUGGGGCCCUGGGGCCUUUUGAGGAGCUAAGUGGCCAAGGAGAGUGCUUUGUGAGUCUCUUGUUGGAAGGACUGUCUUUAAAUUAAAGCAAUUAGAGUUACUUUAUAAGAUUUACCCAAAUAUAAGAGCUGAAGAGAAUAAUUCAAAUUGAUCAGAAGAAAAUACUCAAUUACUGACAAAUGUCAAUUACAUCAAUAGGAGGAGAAAAUGUGUAAUUGUAAGCAGCUGAACUAAAAUAUCUCUGUGACAUUUUGCUGGUGACUCCAGCCCUGUGAGAUCUGAGUGGCUCAGGAAUCAAAUUCUCCCACAAACCUGAGGAAGCCUUUUAUUCUUAAUGCCAACAGGAUGCCCCAUGCCCAGAAUGUCAAAUCUGAACACCAAUGGAAUGCAUUUUAUAAACAAAUUGAAAAAGGACAAUCUUUAACAGAAUUGUUGUUCUCUAGGCAGAUUAGUUGUGCUUCAAAUACAAAAUGAAAUAUUAGAGAACAAAAUUAUUUUUAAACAGCUAAUACUAGUAGAAAAUAAAA